This 344-nucleotide RNase P RNA is filed under the name uncultured Flavonifractor sp. RNAcentral's name for it is "Bacterial RNase P class A". It matches the Rfam family "Bacterial RNase P class A". Rfam says of the family: Ribonuclease P (RNase P) is a ubiquitous endoribonuclease, found in archaea, bacteria and eukarya as well as chloroplasts and mitochondria. Its best characterised activity is the generation of mature 5'-ends of tRNAs by cleaving the 5'-leader elements of precursor-tRNAs. Cellular RNase Ps are ribonucleoproteins. Lineage: Bacteria; Bacillati; Bacillota; Clostridia; Eubacteriales; Oscillospiraceae. The record is from RNAcentral.
CAAGCUGGACAGCCGCGCGGCCGGGGCGAAAGGCCCGGCUGUGAGGAAAGUCCGGGCUCCGCAGGGCAAGGAUAACGGGUAACACCCGCCGGGGGCGACCCUAGGAAAAGUGCAACAGAGAUAUACCGCUGACGGCUCAGCCGUCAGUAAGGGUGGAAAGGCGAGGUAAGAGCUCACCCGAUGGCUGGGAACAGUCCAUCGCUGUAAACUCUAUCCGGAGCAACGCCGUGGAGGGACAACAGGCCGGCCCGGCCGUCCCAGGGAGGCGGCUUGAGCGUACCGGCAACGGUGCGUCGAGAUAGAUGGCUGUCUUAAAGGACAGAACCCGGCUUACAGGCUUACUU